RNAcentral lists this ribosomal RNA (253 nucleotides) under uncultured bacterium. Its description in RNAcentral is "partial 16S ribosomal RNA". It matches the Rfam family "Bacterial small subunit ribosomal RNA", at positions 524 to 776 of the family's 1533-position model. The record is from RNAcentral.
UACGUAGGGAGCAAGCGUUGUCCGCAAUCAUUGGGCGUAAAGCGCGCGUAGGUGGCUUCGUAAGUCCGUUGUGAAAGUCAAAGGCUCAACCUUUGAAAGCCGAUGGAUACUGCGGAGCUAGAGUACGGAAGAGGCGAGUGGAAUUCCUGGUGUAGCGGUGGAAUGCGCAGAUAUCAGGAGGAACACCAAUAGCGAAGGCAGCUCGCUGGGACGUUACUGACACUGAGGCGCGAAAGCGUGGGGAGCGAACAGG